AUUAUUUUGGCAGAUUAGUGCAAUGAAUUUAGAAUUCAUAUAUGUAAAUUUUUAC
This 55-nucleotide transfer RNA is filed under the name Percus guiraoi. RNAcentral's name for it is "tRNA-Leu". The record is from RNAcentral. Lineage: Eukaryota; Metazoa; Arthropoda; Insecta; Coleoptera; Carabidae.